RNAcentral lists this unclassified non-coding RNA (391 nucleotides) under soil metagenome. Its description in RNAcentral is "partial contains 5.8S ribosomal RNA, internal transcribed spacer 2, and large subunit ribosomal RNA". The stretch from base 1 to 122 matches the Rfam family "5.8S ribosomal RNA", at positions 35 to 154 of the family's 154-position model. The record is from RNAcentral.
GAUGAAGAACGUAGCGAAAUGCGAUACUUGGUGUGAAUUGCAGAAUCCCGUGAACCAUCGAGUCUUUGAACGCAAGUUGCGCCCGAAGCCAUUAGGCCGAGGGCACGCCUGCCUGGGCGUCACACGUCGUUGCCCCCCCCAUCUACUCCUUCGGGAUUGCGGGGGGCGGAUGAUGGCCUCCCGUGCGCCUCGCCGCGCGGUUGGCAUAAAUACCAAGUCCUCGGCGACGCACGCCACGACAAUCGGUGGUUGCGAAACCUCGGUUGCCCGUCGUGUGCGUUCGUCGCGCAUCGAGGGCUCGAAAAAAUGCUCGGCUCCGGCUGGGCUUUCAACGCGACCCCAGGUCAGGCGGGGUUACCCGCUGAAUUUAAGCAUAUCAAUAAGCGGAGGA